Long non-coding RNA from Xenia sp. Carnegie-2017, 548 nucleotides. RefSeq lists it as uncharacterized. Lineage: Eukaryota; Metazoa; Cnidaria; Anthozoa; Malacalcyonacea; Xeniidae. The record is from RefSeq and is a predicted model, not a curated record. The transcript is spliced from 4 exons.
CAUAUUUUACCAUUGUGUUUCUGCUUUUGUUUUUCAACUAACAAAUUUCCUUUUUAUUUCAGAUAUUGACGAAUGUAACGCUCUCAUCGAUCAACAAUGCACGGGAACUGGCCAAACCUGAGCUAUUUUCCCUGGCGCUUUUUGUUGUAGCUGCAGUAAUCCAGGCAACAUUUGAACGAAGCAGGAACACAAUGUGUCGAAACGGAAACUGCUAUUCAAGGUCAGAUUCGCAUCAUAAAUAGGGUAUUCAUAUCUGCCUACAAUGACAUUAGCAGCAUUCAGUAUUUUCAAAUAACCAGAGUCAUAAUAAAUCAGCUAAUUUCGCUUUAUCGGCAAACAACAUCACUUCGUAAUUUUGUGGAAAUCAGAAUCAUCCGUUUAUUCCAAUCGUCCGUUGGAGUUGAAUAUGUUGUAGCUUUUAACAACACCCUGAACAUCACUAAUUCUGAAAUUCAAGAUGAGUUGGUGAACGCGUUGACUAAAAAUGAAAAUGGAACUUUUCUUGGCGACCUACAACUUAGCAAUUCGACCAAUACAACUGAAUUAAA